This 85-nucleotide transfer RNA is filed under the name Planctomycetia bacterium. RNAcentral's name for it is "tRNA-Ser". It matches the Rfam family "tRNA". Rfam says of the family: Transfer RNA (tRNA) molecules are approximately 80 nucleotides in length. The record is from RNAcentral. Lineage: Bacteria; Pseudomonadati; Planctomycetota; Planctomycetia.
GGAGAGAUGGCAGAGCGGCUGAUUGCGCCGGUCUUGAAAACCGGUUACCCGCAAGGGUACGUGGGUUCGAAUCCCACUCUCUCCG